AUCCCCGAGCCGAGCCGUAAGGUCCUUAAGUGAGUAACUUUGCCCUGGAGGAAAGUGGAUUCUACGAAGGGAGUUAAGAACAGACACUGAGUCCCAGCAACUCUGGAGGCUGAGGCGGGAGCAUCGCUUGAGCCCAGGAGUUCGAGGCAGCCGUGAGCCGUAAUCGUGUCGCGCCACUGUACUCAAGCCUCCAGACCGGGCGACAGAGCAAGACCCCGAGACCCCUCCCAUUAAAAAAAAAUGAACACUGUACGAAACGCUGCGGUUUCAGAGCUGGAAGAGACCUCAGACAUUCAAUCCCUUUUCCCAAAAUUCACUGGAAGAGCUCGAGGAAAACUUUCCCUUGCAGCUGUCUCAGUCUUUACAGUGCUUAGUUACGAAGACAGUCUUAACAGUCCCAUCUUUCGCCCUGUAAUUCAAGACGGUAUUCCUAAAUCAGGAAUUUUAAUAGAUCAGAAUACGGCAGUCUGUUUUCCUGGGCAUCAAUUAUAAUAUAACCUUGUACUGUCACACUGGUCUUUGACUUCGACGAUGAAAAAGAAAGAAAGGCUCAGAAAGAUGGGUCCCGGAAGCAGCCGAGGAAAACAGGUAGUUAUCAAGGUUAGAGCCAUCACAAAGAGAGGAGUACCUCGCUAUGUGAUAAACCUGCAACCCAAAUACUAACCAUACCAUGGGUCAGUAUGGUCGUUUGAAGGGAGGGAAAUGGUAUGGGUGUAUUCCUCUUGCAGGAAGACCCCAUAUCUACUUUGGGUAAAGUGAGGAGCCAUUUUCCUGAGGCUAGCGGUAGGUGGGAGAUAUAUGGACAAUGGCACUGGACUGAGAGCUUAGAUAACCUGUCCCUGGUGACUCCUGACCUGCAGCCUUGCUCCCUCUUUCCCUCUCACCAGACUCCCUCCCUUCUUCAGAUCAGGUGACACAAACGAUUUUUUUUCUGUUUUUUUGACACACAGUCUUGGUUUGUUGCCCAAGCUGGAGGGCAGUGGUGCGAUCACAGCUGACCCUAACUUCGACCUUAAGGUUCAAGAGACUCUCCUGCCUCAGUCUCCAGAGUAGCUAGUACCACCAACAUGGGCCACCAUACCCAGCUAAUUUUUAUUUUUUGUAGAAUGAGAUCUUACUAUAUUCCCCAGGCUGGUCUCAAACUCUUGGCCUCAAGCAGUCCUCCUGCCUCAGACUCCUAAAGUGCUGGGAUUAUAGGCGUGAGCCACCACAGAUUUUUAUUAGCAUCAGUAAAGGAAUAAAUUUGAUAAAUUAAAAUUUUUGGCCAGGCGUGGUGGCUCAUGCCUGUAAUCCCAGCACUUUGGGAGGCUGAGGCAGGCGGAUCACAAGGUCAGGAGUUCAAAACUAGCCUGACCAACACAGUGAAACCCCAUCUCUACUAAAAAUACAAAAAUUAGCCGGGCAUGGUGGCACCUGCCUAUAAUCCCAGCUACUCAGGAGGCUGAGGCAAGAGAAUCGCUUGAACCCAGGAGGCGGAGUUUGCAGUGAGCGGAGAUAGUGCCACUGCACUCCAGCCUGGGCAACAGAGCGAGACUCCGUCUCAAAAAAAAAAAAGAAAAAAAGAUGUGAUGGUUAAUUUUAAGUGUCAACUUGACUGGAUUAAGGAAUACCUAGAAACCUGGUAAAGCUAUUUUGUGGUGUGUCUGUAUGGGUGUUUCCAGAGAUUAGCGUGUGAGUACAAGUGGGCUAGGUGGGGAAGAUCGGCCCUCCGUGUGGCCAGGUACCAUCCAGUCUGCUGGGGACCCCAGGAAGAACAGAAGCAGAGAAAAGGUGAAAAUGUCAAUUUAUGUGCGAAGGCUGGCUACAUCCAAUCUUCCUCUAUUGUUGUUUUUGGACAACGACCCCAAGCUGCUCAGCCUUUGGAAUCCUGGAUUUACACCAGCAGCACCCUAUCCCCACCCCUUCCUCCUGGUUCUCAGGCCUUUGUCCUUGGACUGAGUUACAUCAUUGUCUUCGCUGAUUCUAAACCUUGGGACUUGGACUGAGCUACCAGCAUCUCAGGGCCUCUAGUUUGCAGAUGGCCUGUCAAGGGACUUAGUCUCCAAAAUUGCAGGAGCCAGUUUCCCUAAUAAAUCCCAAUGUGAUAGUUCUUAUCCCACAGGCCCACUUUAGUUCAGUUUAGUUUUGCUUUGUUUUUAGAAAUGGGGUCUUGCUCUGUUGCCCCAGCUGUAGUGCAGUGGCUCACUCCAGCCUCAAACUCCUGGGCUCUGGCGAUCCUCCCAACUCAGCCUCCUGAGUAGCUAGGAUUACAGGUGCACACCACCAUGCCCAGCUACUUUUUAAUUUUUUUUUUUUGAGACAGAGUCUUACUCUUUCACCCAAGCUGGAGUGCAGUGGCGUAAUCUCAGCUCACUGUAACCUCUGCCUCCCUAGUAGCUGGGACCACAGAUGUGUGCCACUACACCCAGCUAAUUUUUUAUUUUCAGUAGAGACAGGGCUUUGCCAUGUUGGCCAAGCUGGUCUUGAACUCCUGGCCUCAAGUGACCCACCCACAUCGACCUCCCAAAGUGCUGGGAUUACAGGCGUGAGCCAUCUCACCUGCCUACUUUUUAAAUUUUUUGUAGAGACAGGGUCUUGCUAUAUUGCCCAGGCUAAUCUCGAACACCUAGCCUCAAGCGAUCUUCCCAUCUGGGCCUCUCAAAGUGCUGGGAUUACAGGCAGGAGCCCCUUAACCAACUUCGAGAACUUGGGAAAUAAGAUGUGGUGGGUUCUUGCCACCGUGAGCCAAACCUGGGUCAGAACUUCAUGUGUGAUCUGGCCCCUACAUACACCCACUCUGAUAGGAUAUUAUGACACUUUGGAUAACAAUGUCGAUUUGGACCUUGUGUCCCACAGGUCUUAAAAUAUUUGGUUAUUCCACUUUUCCCAGUGUAUAGUUACCAGAGCAAAUGAUAGUUCCCUUUGGAGAAGUAUUAAGGGAUCAUUAACAAAUACUAACAAAAAAAAGGAAAACAAAACAAACACUGUGGUGUUACACAGUCCUUCCUGGGGACCUAGCUUCUGCUUCAAUUAGAUGACCUGAACUCAUUUCUAGAUCUGAAAACUACCUUAGGUCUGGAAACUAGCUGAAGAUCACUUUUUUUUUUAAAUUGGGACAAGUGCCUUCAGCCUCCUAAUGAUUCAUGUUUUAUUUCUCUUGGUUGCACAGAUUGAGCAGUACCCUUGUAGGCUGCCCAUCAAUCUUGCCUCUAAGGAUACCCAGUUGUAUGAAUCAUAUAUUUCUGCAGGUCAACCAUUCUGACCUUAUGCUAAUUGUGACAAUUGUGCCCACCUUGCUGCUGACAGUUAAGCAUCACUAAAGUAGGAAAUAGGGUCCAAACCGACACUACUUAAGGAGGGCAAGUAGUGAUGGGACCUCAUCAUCCCAUUGCUAUCAUGGAGCUCAUCACUGUCACUGCAUCUGCUGCUUUCACCUAAGGUCUGUAAAAGACAGCCACAUUGGUGACAGUACCAAGCUGAGCUGUAUCAGUGAAGUCAGAGGCAAACGGAAAAAGCAGUAAUAGUGAUUCUUUUUUUUCUGUUGUGUUUUUUGUUUUUUUUUUUUGAGACGGAGUCUUGCUCUGUUCCCCAGGCUAGAGUGCAGUGGCACGACCUUGGCUCGCUGCAACCUCUGCCUCCUGGGUUCAAGUGAUUCUCCUGCCUCAGCCUCCCAAGUAGCUGGGACUACAGGCACAUGCCACCACGCCCGGCUAAUUUUUGUAUUUUUAGUAGAGACGGGGUUUCACCAUAUUGGCCAGGCUGGUCUUGAACUCCUGACUUCGUGAUUCAACCACCUCGGCCUCCUGAAGUGCUGGGAUUACAGGCAUGAGCCACUGCGCCCAGCCUAGGGCCAUGCUACUCUUAAUACUAAUUCCUAGGUGGAGUGUGGUGGCUCACAUCUAUAAUCCCAACAAUUUGGGAGGCUGAGGUGCAGGGAUUGCUUGAGACCAGGAGUUGGAGACCAACCUGGGCAACAUAAUGAGACUUUGUCUCAAUUAAAAUAAAAAUCAGUCCUGGAGCUGUGGCUCACGCCUGUAAUCCCAGCACUUUGGGAGGCCGAGGCGGGUGGAUCACCUGAGGUCGGGAGUUUGAGACCAGCCUGACCAACAUGGAGAAACCCCAUCUCUACUAAAGAUACAAAAUUAGCCGGGUAUGGUGGCACAUGCCUGUAAUCCCAGCUACUCGGGAGGCUGAGGCAGGAGAAUUGCUUAAACCUGAGAGGCAGACGUUGCAGUGAGCCAAGAUGGUACCAUUGCACUCCAGCCUGGGCAACAAGAGCAAAACUCCAUCUCAAAAAAAUAAAAUAAUAAAAUAAAAUAAAAAUCAGGUCAGGCGCGGUG
Molecule: long non-coding RNA, 4319 nt
Filed under: Homo sapiens (human)
Lineage: Eukaryota; Metazoa; Chordata; Mammalia; Primates; Hominidae
Description: non-protein coding lnc-COQ10B-3:3
Source: RNAcentral